Long non-coding RNA from Pseudopipra pipra, 423 nucleotides. RefSeq lists it as uncharacterized. The transcript has 2 exons. The record is from RefSeq and is a predicted model, not a curated record. Lineage: Eukaryota; Metazoa; Chordata; Aves; Passeriformes; Pipridae.
AUGGCAACACAGCCCUGCACAUGGCAGCUGCCCUGCCAGGGCACAAGAACCAGAAGGAAAUGGUGCAGCUGCUCCUGGCCCACGGGGCAGACCCGAGCAUCAGGAACCUGGACAACGACCAGCCCAUCCACAUGGCCCCCUCUGGGAGAGCUGGGGACCAGGUCAGGCAUUUGCUGAAGAAAGGGAAAGUUGCAUCUGCCUUCCUUUCCUGCCGCCGAAAUGCCAGAUCCUAGGCUGCCUGAAAUUCAUGGAAUGGCUUCACCUUCAGCUUGCUGAUGGCCUGAGGCCUCUCAUACAGACUGUGAGGGUGGUUCACCAACAAAUCCCUGCUCCUACAGGCUUAAACCAGGGUGGGAAGACAGUGUUUCUCAACCUGGAGAUGAGAUUUCAAAUGGCUGAAUACUUAAUUUUGCUACCAAAGAA